AUUGAACGCUGGCGGCAUGCUUUACACAUGCAAGUCGAACGGUAACAGGCCGCAAGGUGCUGACGAGUGGCGAACGGGUGAGUAAUGCAUCGGAACGUGCCCAGUCGUGGGGGAUAACUACUCGAAAGAGUAGCUAAUACCGCAUACGAUCUAUGGAUGAAAGCGGGGGACCGUAAGGCCUCGCGCGAUUGGAGCGGCCGAUGUCAGAUUAGGUAGUUGGUGGGGUAAAGGCUCACCAAGCCAACGAUCUGUAGCUGGUCUGAGAGGACGACCAGCCACACUGGGACUGAGACACGGCCCAGACUCCUACGGGAGGCAGCAGUGGGGAAUUUUGGACAAUGGGCGCAAGCCUGAUCCAGCAAUGCCGCGUGCAGGAAGAAGGCCUUCGGAUUGUAAACUGCUUUUGUACGGAACGAAACGGCUCUGGUUAAUACCCGGGGCUAAUGACGGUACCGUAAGAAUAAGCACCGGCUAACUACGUG
RNAcentral lists this ribosomal RNA (482 nucleotides) under uncultured bacterium. Its description in RNAcentral is "partial 16S ribosomal RNA". It matches the Rfam family "Bacterial small subunit ribosomal RNA", at positions 30 to 507 of the family's 1533-position model. The record is from RNAcentral.